Molecule: ribosomal RNA, 253 nt
Filed under: uncultured Lachnospiraceae bacterium
Lineage: Bacteria; Bacillati; Bacillota; Clostridia; Lachnospirales; Lachnospiraceae
Description: partial 16S ribosomal RNA
Rfam family: Bacterial small subunit ribosomal RNA
Source: RNAcentral
UACGUAGGGGGCAAGCGUUAUCCGGAUUUACUGGGUGUAAAGGGAGCGUAGACGGUAAUGUAAGUCUGAAGUGAAAGCCCGUGGCUCAACCGCGGAACCGCUUUGGAAACUGCGAGGCUGGAGUGCUGGAGAGGUAAGCGGAAUUCCUGGUGUAGCGGUGAAAUGCGUAGAUAUCAGGAGGAACACCGGUGGCGAAGGCGGCCUGCUGGACUGUAACUGACACUGAGGCUCGAAAGCGUGGGGAGCAAACAGG